UACCGAAUUUUCAACUAGGAGGCACUGGAAAAAAGGGUCUACUUUUUCAUAUUAUCCAAUUGGUAGCAUAUAUGAUGCACUAGGAUUUGAACUUUGAUGCUAUGGUUCUUGAAUUGUUUGAGUUUGGCUAUUCUUUGGUUGAAGUGGAGCAUGGUAGAUAUAGUUAUAACCGCAGCGCCCAUUGACCUUAGUUAGGAUCUCAGGGUGGAUGACGGAGUCAUUAGACUUAAGUAAGGAUUUUACUUCGACUAGGGUGAGGUCAAUUUAGUUUUAGUUCGCUAACAAACUAGGGAAAAGAAAGAAUGUCUAUAGUUCAAGUUAAGUGGCAGGUUUUAGAAACCAUCAAAGCUAGUGGAGGAGUCUGAUCUGUGGAAAGAUGUUGAUGUUUAAAAGUGGAAGAAUGAACAUAGUCACAUCCUUCCUGUGUUAUGAUUUGUAACUUUGUUAUUGUUGACAAAUUUCAGUGCAUAUUUGGAAUCUAAUAUUGCUUGUAUUAAUGUGAGCCUGUUCUCACUAUUGAUUGUGAAAUGCAAUAGCAUUGCGAUAUAAAAUAUUAUUGCCAAAAAAUUCUUUAAUCUAUAUCUAUAUUAUAAUCGCAAAAGGAAGAAAUUUAAUCUUGUAUAUUGUAGUGCUAGGGCUACUGGGUUGCACCAUUUUAGCUUUCUAUUCACCAAGAGGAAUAAGAAAUGAUAAGCUUUCUGUAGUGAGGUUCAACUAAGAGAUUAUGUGUGGGAAAGGUUAGAUUCAAGUUCAACUCUCUUCCUUUGAAUAGAACAAAGAUAGUGGGGUGAAGGAGGUCUGGGGGGCAACCCGGUAUUAAAUAUAAUUUUCACUCCCUUGUAGCUGAAGACAUCUCUAGCCGUCUAGCGGGAUAACCUUGUUACAGAGGUUGCAGAGCCGAGAUAUCAAAUCUGGUUUUGAGGAUCUGCUGUUUCACUUAUCUCACUCAUGUGAAAAUGCUUCUACAGAAACUAAUCUCUGCUAUCUUACUUCAAUGCUCCGACCCUUCUUCAUAAUAUCUUGAUACCCAAAAGAAAGAAGACACUAACUUUCCUACCUUACAUUAUUCAAACAACACAGAGGUUCCUCAUAUGAAGCAGACAACAUGCUAACACCAUGCACUUCAACAAAGGAGGGACUUAAACCGUGACCUUAUGGAGCUUUCAUUUUCUUGGAGACUAGUCCCUUCUCUCAUCCCUUCUCAUGUGAUACUAAAAAUCAACUGGUAAUUGGCUGAUUGGCACCAUUUUGAUAAAUUACCCCUGCAGAUCUUCUUAGAGGGUGUUUUACUAGGCUUAUUUUAGAUAGCUUAUAAGCUCUAACAGCUUGUAAGAUGUUGCAAGAGCUUACAAGAUAAAAUGUGUCAAGAGCUUCUAAGUUAUCAAAGUGUUUUGGAUAGUUGAACUUAUAAGUUAGCGUGAGAAAAUUGAUGAGAGAUGUAAUUGAAAGGGUAUUUUUGUAAAUUGAUCAUUGCUUAUAAGAUCAUGAAAAAAGAAGAUGGGGUUGAGGAACUUUUUUUCUUUGUAGCUGAUAAGGCAGUGAAACUUAUUUUCACAGCUUAUAAGCUCUUUAGGAGCUUCUUUUACCAAACACCCUCUUACUAUCAACUUACAAGCUGAUUUGGGGGCAGUUGGUUGACAUGAUACAAUGCUUCUAGAAAGGGCAGUAAAAUUGCUUGUGAAUUUUGUAAUUUGCCACUAACCAUCACUGCAGCAUGCAUGUCCCUAGGACAUAUGAAACAUGAAAAACUAUAUAUUCACUUGCAUGCACUCAAUAUUCGUAGGGUAUUGUGUGGUCUUGUUCUUAGUGUCCUUGUGCAAGUGCACAUAAUAUGAGAUGAAAGCUCCAAACAUUUUGGUCUUUAUCACCAAGUUUGGCGAUUAUUUUCCACAUUAUUUCCAAGAAACUUUUUUUUAAGAAUAAAUAGAAUCAUGUCCUGAAUAUGUGUUUCAAACCAUAGUCUUUAGUUUAGUUUGUCAUCAUCUGAAGGUCAUGCACAAAAGUUUUCUCCGCUUAGAUAUACUGAAUCAAAGACUCAUGGAUCUCAGAUGCAUACUCGUCCACUCAUCCAGCUUAAAUGAAUAUAUCAUGUUAGAACCGCUGGUACAUAUGUUGCAAGUCCAUACCUUUUAAAAUAAACUUUAUUGUGUAUUACCAUCUCUUUACAAACUUCACUUUUAUAAUGUAUCAUUUACUAAAUUACUAUGGCAAUGUUUGUGGUAUACAUGUGGAUGGAUCAGACAACUCAACAAAUAUCUAUAGCACCACCUGUAUCCAGAUUUGGUGCAAGAUUCCAUGGAAAUUAGCAUGUCUCCAUCUAUGCAUUGAUGUAGUAUCUGUCCCUCACCAAUCAAAAAGUGCACAAGGUCUAGAAAAUCCUCUCAUGUUAGAAUAUGUGUCAAUAAUUUUCACAUUAGUAGAGAGGAGAUAUAGAAAUCACUUCGUAGCACCAAGAUGCCAAGUAUUGGUUUCAUGGCCUUAAUUUAUUUCAACCGGCUUUAAGUAAAAAAUCUAUGAAUCAUGCUGAUGUGUUUUUGUUAAAGUGAUUAAGAUUACUAUUGACUCAAUAUAUUGGCUUCAGCGUUUAAAGAUUAUCUUCAUUGUGCUUAAGUUUUUUCACAUUAUGCAAUUUGCUUUGCUUUUUUAUUCUUGGGAUUAUAUAUGGUAUUUUAGUAUUAGGUUUUGAUUAUGUUUCAUAGUUUAGUUAGGAAUCUUGUAUUAUAAAUAGGUGCUUUAAUGGGUUGAUGAAUACACAGAAAGUUAGUCCCAAAUAUGUUUUCCAUGUAUUGUUUUACAUGGUAUCAAGAGCCAUAGGAUCUAGGGUUUCGAAAUCGGGGUUUUAGAAAUUAAAAGUUAGUGUUUUUGAGUGAAAAUGGAGGCACCGAGGCAGCCACCCAUUCUUGUUCGAAGUAUUACCAGUCGACACCGCCUGGCCAGGGAGGUGUGUCGCCGUCAGACCGACUUUCGCCGAAAGUCCGGUUGCCGGAAUCGAUGCAUGUGGAUCUCAUGUGCCGGGCCUCCGGCAACCUUUUUCUCCCACAGUUUCAUUUUCCUGUGCAUGUGGCGGUAUGGGCGCAUUUCUCUCUGUAAUUUGCUCCAGCCGGUCCCAUUUGACUCGUCUCGUCAUCCUCUGUCUGUUUGAGUACUUGUUUGGAUCAGCAUCGGAGAGGUAUUGGAUUUGUUCUCAUCGUUCUCGUCCAUAUUCUAAUUUUUGGCGCGUGUGUGGCCGGAAUUCAGUCCAGUUUGUGGUGUUGUGCUCGUCUCGACGUCCCCUUUCGUUUCGUAUACCUGUUUUUCAAUACCUGUUUUGAAAUCUUUCUGCUCUCUCUUUUGUCGUUGGAAUGGAAACUGUCUGAGGAUGAGAAAAAGACCGUGGUUCCUGAGGUUGUGUCCGUGAUUGCAAGAAUCACGAAACACAAACUUUUGCGUCAUCCACCUUCUGAUGCGUCCAAACUUUCUUGGUCACAAGAGGAUGCUCGUUUCUUGCAAGUUCGAGAAAUUGAGGGGUUCUCAACCUACUUCUGUCACCACCGUUGCUGAUUCAAAUGUCAUGAGGAAGAAGAUUUUUAGUGAAAGGGAAUUGGUCUUCCUAUUUUGAAGGGACUUGUCCACUUUUGUUUUCUGUUUAGCUGUCGGUUUCUUAGUUAUUUUUUUCUUUAGAUAAUCUAGUCUUUAUUAGUUCUAGUUUUUUAGUCAAUAAUAAUUGUUUUGAUGCGCCCGAUAUAACAAGCUAGGCAUGAAACAUCUAUGUUCUAGCUUGAGGAGGGGUGUUGGAAUUAUAUAUGGUAUUUUAGUAUUAGGUUUUGAUUAUGUUUCCUAGUUUAGUUAGGACUCUUGUAUUUAAAUAGCCUAGGUGCUUUAUUGAGUUGAUGAAUAUACCAAAAAUUAGUCCCAAA
Salvia miltiorrhiza (redroot sage) is the source of this 3896-nucleotide long non-coding RNA. RefSeq lists it as uncharacterized. The transcript is spliced from 2 exons. Lineage: Eukaryota; Viridiplantae; Streptophyta; Magnoliopsida; Lamiales; Lamiaceae. The record is from RefSeq and is a predicted model, not a curated record.